UUAUUGGCGUCGUUUGGUAUGCUGGCGAAGACGUAAGAUUCACACUCUCCAAACUUUGGUGGCAACUGAUAUAUCGUCUCAGUGUCGGGGUGGAAGCGUCUUGGAUGUCCAGUGGCGUCCGUUCCGGCGACGGCAAACGCGAGCUGACGUCUCUGAAAGCACUCUCCCGAGCCUUCCUGGCGAUCUCUUGAGCAAUUUCUUUCGCAUCCUUGGAGCCAUCUCUGAGGCGAUGUAUAACGAACUCCCUGGCAGAUUGCUGCUGCGUUUUGGUUUCGGUGACAGCGUGCAGUACUUUCUCCCUGGCCGGAGAGCCGGGCUCAAACUCC
Molecule: long non-coding RNA, 326 nt
Filed under: Selaginella moellendorffii
Lineage: Eukaryota; Viridiplantae; Streptophyta; Lycopodiopsida; Selaginellales; Selaginellaceae
Description: long non-coding RNA (SMOE_LNC001730)
Source: RNAcentral